Long non-coding RNA from Pecten maximus, 478 nucleotides. RefSeq lists it as uncharacterized. The transcript is spliced from 4 exons. Lineage: Eukaryota; Metazoa; Mollusca; Bivalvia; Pectinida; Pectinidae. The record is from RefSeq and is a predicted model, not a curated record.
CGGAAAGAUAGUGAGAACAGGUGUCUUGGGUCCACAGUUAUCGACCAUGACCAGCAUGACGAAGGUUCUCUUGUCUCUGGCUCUCUUAUCUCUACUAACAGUGACGUCAUAUGGAGCCCCGGAACGUCGGGGCAGUUGUCUGAGUUACUGUGGGCCGUACGGCGUUACCUGCCCCGAUGGUUACGAAUGUAGAGGAAAUGGGUGUGGCCAUCAGUGUUACCGUCCAGCAAAUUAUGUACAGCCCGAAGGAUGUGUACUGACAACAUGUGCCGUACAGUGCCCCUUUGGAUAUAAAAUGACCGCCAGUGGCUGCGACACGUGUCAGUGUGAUUACUCCGCCAUGACAAAUUUAGGCUAAGCACAAGAUGGAAAAGCCAAGAACGCUGAUGCUUCCAAAUACGAAGGCGCACACAUUUCACUUGUGGUCAUUAUAGUACUUCAAUGAAUAAAAGUAUAAUUAUUCAACAAUACGAUUAUA